Molecule: ribosomal RNA, 1533 nt
Filed under: Triticum aestivum (bread wheat)
Lineage: Eukaryota; Viridiplantae; Streptophyta; Magnoliopsida; Poales; Poaceae
Description: partial small subunit ribosomal RNA
Source: RNAcentral
AUGGAGAGCGUUUUCCGAUCCGGAAGUGGGCAGCGGUUCACCUCUCCUCACGGGCGGGGCCCCACCACCCUAUUUCACCGCCAACCGCACGAACCCCAUCCCUCCUCGCCUCUCUCUCUCUUCCUUUCUUCCUCUCUGUGGCGGCGGGUCGGCGCUCCCACCAAGCAGCAGUGGACACCGGCGGUUUGCGCGGCGCGGCGGCGGGGAGCGGCGGCAGACCGGCCGUGCGGCGGCAGGCCAUCGGGCUCCGUCAAGGUUGCUAAAAUGGAUAAGCUCAAGGGCUCUGCGCGUCUUAUGAUUGUUUCAGAUCUCGAUCACACAAUGGUUGAUCAUCAUGACGAAGAGAACUUGUCUUUGCUUAGGUUUGGGGCCCUUUGGGAGUCUGUUUACUGUCAGGAUUCUCUUCUUGUCUUUUCAACAGGAAGAUCACCUACUCUGUAUAAGGAAUUGAGGAAAGAGAAGCCUAUGCUAACUCCAGACAUCACUAUUUUGUCUGUGGGCUCUGAGAUAACUUAUGGUGAAGCCAUGGUCCCUGAUCAUGGCUGGGAGGAAUAUUUGAACAAUAAGUGGGACAGGAAUAUUGUUCUUGAGGAGACAGCUAAGUUUUCUGAGCUGAAGCUUCAGGUAGAGACAGAACAGCGUCCACAUAAGGUCAGCUUUUUGGUUGACAAGAAGAAUGCUCAAGGAGUGAUCAAGUCUCUCUCCGAGACGUUUGAGAAACGUGGGGUAGAUGCGAAAAUAAUCUACAGUGGUGGCCAGGAUCUUGACAUAUUAGCUCAAGGGGCUGGAAAGGGUCAAGCACUUGCAUAUUUGCUCAAGAAGUUAGGUUCAUGCGGAAAAACACCCAACAAUACUCUUGCUUGUGGUGACUCUGGUAAUGAUGCAGAAUUAUUCAGUAUCCCUGGUGUACAUGGUGUCAUGGUUAGCAAUGCCCAAGAGGAACUACUCCAGUGGCAUGCAGAAAAUGCGAAGGAUAAUCCUAAGAUAAUUCAUGCAACUGAGAGGUGUGCUGCUGGUAUUAUUCAAGCUAUUGGGCACUUCAAGCUAGGACCUAAUGUUUCUCCAAGAGACGUUGAGUUUCCUUACAUCAAGGAGGACCCUUUCAAGCCUACAGUGGCCAUUGUGAAGUUCUAUGUUCUGUACGAAAAGUGGCGUAGAGCUGAUGUUCCAAAGGCUGAUUCAGUUAUACAGUACUUCAAAAACAUCACAGAUGCAAAUGGAGUUAUUAUUCAUCCGUCUGGGGUCGAACUUUCGAUCCAUUCAUCCAUUGAUGAGCUGGCUUCAUGUUAUGGUGACAAACAAGGGAAAAAGUACCGAUCAUGGGUGGACAGACUAGUUAUCUUGCAGACUGCUUCUGACAGUUGGCUUGUGAGAUUCGACUUGUGGGAGGCAGAAGGUGCUGCGUGGGUGUGCUGUUUUACAACUCUUGCGCUGAAUGUAAAGCCUGAAUCCCCUGGGGGUUUUGUGGUAACACACAUUCACAAGACGUGGCGUAAAGAAUAUCCCGGGGUCGAGCAGUCAUCCAAACUCUAG